Molecule: long non-coding RNA, 598 nt
Organism: Bos taurus (domestic cattle)
Lineage: Eukaryota; Metazoa; Chordata; Mammalia; Artiodactyla; Bovidae
Source: Ensembl
GGUGUAGCAUUUUGCUUAUACUGUGAGAAUGGCUGUGUUGUAUUUGGCUAAUUCCCCCUGAAUUUGGGGAAAGAGAUUUGAAUGAAGGAAACUUCGGUGAGAGGCCUGAAGGUUUACUGCCCUCAUCUCUCCUAGCUUUUGCUUCACAAAAUUAGUGGUCUCCAAAAUACUCCUUAGCAAAAUACUAAUUCCUUCUUCUUCUUCUUGAUAUGUUUGUUAGUUCAGUUACACAUUGUACAGGAGGCAGUGAUUCAAGACCAUCCCCAAGAAAAAGAAAUGCAAAAAGACAAAAUGGUUGUCUGAGGAGGCCUUACAAAUAGCUGUGAAAAGAAGAGAAGCGAGAGGCAAAGGAGAAAAGGAAAGAUAUAAGCAUCUGAAUGAAGAGUUCCAAAGAAUAGCAAGGAGAGAUAAGAAAGCCUUCCUCAGUGAUCAAUGCAAAGAAAUAGAGGAAAACAAUAGAGUGGGAAAGACUAGAGGUCUCUUCAAGAAAAUUAGAGAUACCAAGGGAAAUUUCAUGCAAAGAUGGGCACAAUAAAGGACAGAAAUGGCAUGGACCUAACAGAAGCAGAAGAUAUUAAGAAGAGAUGAUUAGAAUACA